GGCCCUAUCUGGAACGAGGCAGUCCAGGGCAAACUUUGGCACUGCCUUCCCUAACGGAACAGCCUGUGGCCUGGGGGUGGUGAGCUUUGCUUUCCCGACCAAGGGCGCGGCGGCCUUCCCACAGGGGCCCUGGGAACAAAUCACUCAUAACUGAAGUUUCAGGUUUCAGAAUCAGUCAGCUGAACAGAUAACUUGAUUGCUCCAUUUCUCCCCAAAUCAGUUCAGAAGCUACUGAUAACCCUUGAGAGACUGCUUCUUUAUUUUAUUUUAUUAUUAUUAUUUUUGAAAUGGAGUUUUGCUUUCGUUGCCCAGGCUGGAGGGCACUGGCGUGAUCUCAGCUCACUGCAACCUCCGCCUCCUGGGUUCAAGCUAUUCUCCCGCCUCAGCCUCCCGAGUAGCUGGGAUUAUAGGUGCCCGCCACCACGCCUGGCUAAUUUUUUGUAUUUUUAGUAGAGACAGGGUUUCACCAUGUUGGUCAGGCUGGUCUCGAACUCCCAACCUCAGGUGAUCCGCCCACCUCGGCCUUCCAAAGUGCUGGUAUUACAGGCAUGAGCCACUGCGCCCGGCCUGGAGAGCGCUUCUUAUGAGAGAAGCCAUGGGUCUCCGGAGCAGGAUUUCCACCACAUGAAGGUGGACGAUAAGAAAGUGUGGGACCCACGCCGGGGAGGGGCAAGUACAGCCCCCGCAAGGCCGCCCAUUAAAUCAGGAUUGGGGGAAACGGUGACAGUCUUUUCAGCAAGAUGAGAGGCCACCAGCCGGGCCAGUGUCACUGGAUUUGAGGGAGGGCCAUUUGGCCCCUUAGUUGGAAAAUAUGCAGAUGGCUGGCUCCUUGAUGGAGUCCCCUGAUGGCAGCUCCUUAGGAGACAAUACAGGACGUUCAGGCGGCGGCUGCAGUUCAGUGGCAGCCUGGAGGGGCUGUGCGUGAUGCCGGGCUGUGCGUGAUGCCGGGCUGUGGGUGAUGCCAUGCUGUGCGUGAUGCCGGGUUUGUGGGUGAUGCCGAGUUUGUGGGUGAUGCCGGGCUGCGGGUGAUGCCGGGCUGUGCGUGAUGCCGGGUUUGUGGGUGAUGCCGGGCUGUGCGUGAUGCCGGGUUUGUGGGUGAUGCCGGGCUGCGGGUGAUGCCGGGCUGUGCGUGAUGCCGGGCUGCGGGUGAUGCCGGGCUGCGGGUGAUGCCGGGGCUGUGUGUGAUGCCGGGUUUGUGUGUGAUGCCGGGCUGUGCGUGAUGCCGGGCUGGGGGUGAUGCCGGGCUGUGCGUGAUGCCGGGCUGUGCGUGAUGCCAGGCUGUGCGUGAUGCCGGUUUGUUUGUAGGUCUUUAGUUUUUUCUUUCUUUUGUGUUUAAUGGGGAAGCUUCCCGCCAAGACAGCAACCCCUCUGGGGGAAGGAGUUCAAGCUGAGACCUCUUUUUUUUUUUUUUUGAGACGGAGUCUCGCUCUGUCGCCCAGGCUGGGGUGCAGUGGCCAAUCUCGGCUCACUGCAAACUCCGCCUCCCGGGUUCACACCAUUUCCCUGCCUCAGCCUCCCGAGUGGCUGGGACUACAGGUACCUGCCACCACGCCCAGCUAAUUUUUUGUAUUUUUUAGUAGAGACAGGGUUUCACCGUGCUAGCCAAGAUGGUCUCGAUCUCCUGACCUUGUGAUCCGCCUGCCUCGGCCUCCCAAAGUGCUGAGAUUACAGGCGUGAGCCACUGCGCCCAGCCGAGACCUCCUCUUUCAAGUUGCUACCCAGGAGUGGGGUGCCCAGAGGGACAGCCCCUGGAGGUGCAGCCCCCUGCUUUGUUGGGGCGGGAGCAUGCCACCCUCUGAGCCGCGGUGGGCUCAGUGAAGUGGGUGUUGUCAUCCUUCCCACUGCACGGGUCUAGAGUCUGGGGUGCGGUGAGCUCGCGGCUUGCUGAGGGCCAACAGUUAGUGAGGGGUGGAGCUGCGACUUGCAGGAAGGUCCAGCCCCGCCUCCCAGGCCCUUUCUAGCCCCUUCUGUUGCCGUGCUGCUUCCCACCCUUGCCUGGAAUCCUCCUGUGGGGGACGCAUGUGGUGGCCCCUGUGGCUGACUUUCCGGCUGAGCCAGGGCACCAGUGUCCUCACUCUAGAGAUGAGCUCUUCUGAGGGGUGAGGUCCAGCCACACCUGUGGUGGGGUGGUGUAGCCCGAGCCUGUUACCCC
Molecule: long non-coding RNA, 2152 nt
Filed under: Homo sapiens (human)
Lineage: Eukaryota; Metazoa; Chordata; Mammalia; Primates; Hominidae
Description: HSALNT0169527
Source: RNAcentral